Non-coding RNA from Kogia breviceps (pygmy sperm whale), 545 nucleotides. The record is from RefSeq and is a predicted model, not a curated record. Lineage: Eukaryota; Metazoa; Chordata; Mammalia; Artiodactyla; Physeteridae.
CUUUCUCGCUGCCGCCCCUUUGGCCUCCCGCACCCUCUGCUUUUGACCGUGUUUCGCGAACAUGGGCCAGCAGCUGGCCAGCAUGCCAAGAAACGUGGGCCUGACACCAUCCUUUACUGAGGACUGCUAGCAGAUGAAUAUAUUGAAAGGUGAUGAGUACAGAGGAAGCUGACCGCCAGCCACUCGGUAUGGUAAAAGGAUGAGGACGUAAGAUGCGGAAGGAUUAGAACCGGGCAGGAUUUUCUGAUCUCUGAAGUUGCAGUUUUGCCACGCAGGGGCAAAGACGUGCCUUCCACAGCCCUUGGUGUAAACAGGGUAUUAAGCGGGCUGUGACUCCAUGUGCUGGGAGCAGAUCAGAGCCCAGUCCAGGCCAAGGCUGCGUCCCCUGCCCCUGGUACGUGUGGACAAGUCCUGGCCCAGCAGCUGUGGCCGCUCUCAGGGCAUGGGCAGGCCAUCCAGCCCUGGUCUCACAUUACACCACACACCGCUAUGUGUCAGCAGCCCACCAAAUUCCUAAAAAACCAGGUAACUGCAGAAAAUCUGUC